GUUUACCACGGUAUGAUUCAUGACUGGGGUGAAGUCGUAACAAGGUAACCGUAGGGGAACCUGCGGUUGGAUCACCUCCUUACCAAAGAA
RNAcentral lists this ribosomal RNA (90 nucleotides) under Ursidibacter maritimus. RNAcentral's name for it is "partial 16S ribosomal RNA". It matches the Rfam family "Bacterial small subunit ribosomal RNA", at positions 1452 to 1533 of the family's 1533-position model. Lineage: Bacteria; Pseudomonadati; Pseudomonadota; Gammaproteobacteria; Pasteurellales; Pasteurellaceae. The record is from RNAcentral.